UGCGUAGGCGGCCUGGCAAGUUGGGUGUGAAAGCCCUCGGCUCAACCGAGGAAUUGCGCUCAAAACUGCUAGGCUUGAGGGAGGUAGAGGUAAGCGGAACUAAUGGUGGAGCGGUGAAAUGCGUUGAUAUCAUUAGGAACACCUGAGGCGAAAGCAGCUUACUGGGCCUCUUCUGACGCUGAGGCACGAAAGCUAGGGGAGCGAACG
This 207-nucleotide ribosomal RNA is filed under the name uncultured bacterium. Its description in RNAcentral is "partial 16S ribosomal RNA". It matches the Rfam family "Bacterial small subunit ribosomal RNA", at positions 568 to 774 of the family's 1533-position model. The record is from RNAcentral.